UGUCAACCUGUUUUAUUGACUCAUUCAAACAAAACAAAAACAGAAACAUAAUAAAAUCCCUCCUUCAAGUUUUAAGCUUUAAGAUAAAAGUUGUGCAAAGAAGAAAAAGACGAGCGUCGAUAUGAAAGAGAAGAAACACAAAGAUGUUAUUAUUAUUACAGAUAUGUCUUUAAACGUCAUGUCUUUAAACUUUUUGUUCUUUUUGUCUUUAAAUCAAAUAAAAAUAAAAUUUGUUCGUUAACGACUUUUUCCUGUUUGUGCUUCGACCAUCAGCUGAGUGUAAACGUCACAUUUAAUCAUUAACAUCAAGAAUUAAAUUAUUAUUAAUCCCUCACAGCAUUCAAACAAUAUUAAAACAAAUAUUAAAACAUUAUUAUCUGGAAUUGGAGCUUUUUGUUUCGUCAAACUUGCAGAAAUUUGGAGAAAAACUGUCAGAAAAUGUUUUUUAUUCACAUUAAACGCAUUUUAUAAUCAUAUAUUUAAUAUUUUACAGAGUUUUAGGAUUUUUACUCUUAGUUUUUAUGGAUAAAUGUUUUAUUUUCACAUCGUUUUAUAACCAAAUUAAUUAAAUAUCUUUCUAAUAAUCUGCUUUAAACUCAUUUAUAUCUAAUUAAUUAAAGAAAUUAAAGCUUUUUAUUGGAACUUUUGGAGCAUUUAUAUUAUUUUUAUGCUUUUUAAAAGUUAGUUUUGUUUCUAUAUGUUUGAGUUUUUAUGUUAAUUUAAAUCUAAUUUGUUGGUUUUUUUGGUGAAUUUAGUAGAAAAGUGUCGUUUUGUGAUUAAAUAAAACCAAAAUAAUUCAACUGCUUUCUAAUAAUCUCCAAAAUUAAAGUUUUUAUUAACAGUUUAAAUGUUAAUAACACUUAGUUUGAAGCUUUUUAUUCUUAGUUUUGUUUCGUUUGUCUCGUUUUAUGACACAAUAAAUAAUUAAAUCUCUUUUCUAUUAAUCUCUAAAACCAUAUUAUUUGUUUUCUGACUGAUUUCCUCUGCAGGUGUUUGACUUUCAGCUCGCUCACAUUAAAGAAAACACAUUUAAUCAUUUUAAGACUUUUAACUUUCAAACUGCUUUAAAACUAUAAAACUGUUUAAUGUGAGCCGCAGACGUUAAAGCUGAAGGAAUGAUGAAAGCACGAGGUUUCAUAUUUAACUCAUCAUCUACCAAAACCCAACAGCCAGAGAUCCAGAGUUAUAGAUUAUUAAUAACCCUCCUGUUGUCCUCAGGUCAAGGAAGGAAGGAAGGAAGGAAGGAAGGAAAGAAAGGAGUAAGGAAGGAAAGGAGAAGGAAGGAAGGAAGGGAGGAAGGGAGGAAGGAAAGAAGGAACAGUCGAAAGAGACGGGGUGAAUUUGACCCGGGAGGACGACAGGAAGAUUUAAGAGUUUUAGUUCACAGAUUUUAAACCGUGUGAUCCCUCUCUGGUAAGAUCUCUGACUGUCGGCUGGUCCAGCAGUCAAACCUCGUUGGUCACGUUAAGAAAAGUAAAAGCGACUCAAACGUUUCACCCGAGAAAAAAAAACUACUAAAAACUUUUUCUUUCUAAGUUCAAGUAUCGAAAAAAAGC
Molecule: long non-coding RNA, 1556 nt
Organism: Scomber japonicus (chub mackerel)
Lineage: Eukaryota; Metazoa; Chordata; Actinopteri; Scombriformes; Scombridae
Exons: 3
Source: RefSeq, a predicted model, not a curated record